UACGUAGGGCGCAAGCGUUUAUCCGGAAUUAUUGGGCGUAAAGAGCUCGUAGGCGGUUUGUCGCGUCUGCCGUGAAAGUCCGGGGCUCAACUCCGGAUCUGCGGUGGGUACGGGCAGACUAGAGUGAUGUAGGGGAGACUGGAAUUCCCGGUGUAGCGGUGAAAUGCGCAGAUAUCGGGAAGAACACCCGUGGCGAAGGCGGUUCUCUGGGCCGAUACUGACGCUGAGGAGCGAAAGCGUGGGGAGCGAACAGG
This 254-nucleotide ribosomal RNA is filed under the name uncultured bacterium. Its description in RNAcentral is "partial 16S ribosomal RNA". It matches the Rfam family "Bacterial small subunit ribosomal RNA", at positions 524 to 776 of the family's 1533-position model. The record is from RNAcentral.